AAGGGAUUUCCACUCAUUAUUAUGAGAUGUUUCGAAUGGAAAAACAUAUUUUUCAUAAACUUUGCAAUGAAUUGCUGGAACAUGAUUUAAAGUCUUCUAAACAUAUGUUGAAGAAAUGGUUGCAAUGUUUUUGGUCGUUGUAGGCCAUGGUGUCGAUAGUAGAAUGAUUCAAGAAAGAUUUCAACAUUCGGGUGAGACUGUAAGUACACAUUUCCAUCGUGUACUUCAUGCAUGCCUUGAGUUAUCCUUCAAAUAUAUUAAACCCGAAGAUCCUAUAUUUCGUGAUUGUCAUGCCAAAAUAAAAAAUGAUCAACGUUAUUGGCCUUUUUUUAAGAAUGCUAUAGGAGCAAUUGAUGGUACACAUGUGUCAUGUGUAGUUAGUGCUAGUGAGAAACCAAGGUUUAUUGGAAGAAAAGGAUAUCCAACACAAAAUAUUAUGGUUGUAUGUGAUUAAAAUAUGUGUUUCACUUUUGUAUUAUCUGGUUGGGAAAGCACUGCCCCAUGAUGCCCAUGUUUUUGGACAAAGCUCUUACUAUUGCUAACCUUAACUUUCUGCAUCCUCGUCAAGGUAAGUAUUAUUUGGUGGAUUUUGGUUAUCCAACACCAAUAGGUACAUCGGUCCAUAUAGAUGUGAACGUUAUCAUCUUCUUGAAUUAAGGCAUUCAGGUGGGUUCGAAAAUCAUAAUGAAGUAUUCAAUUACUAUCACUCAAGUUUAGGAUGCACAAUUGAAAAAA
Long non-coding RNA from Medicago truncatula (barrel medic), 735 nucleotides. RefSeq lists it as uncharacterized. The transcript has 2 exons. Lineage: Eukaryota; Viridiplantae; Streptophyta; Magnoliopsida; Fabales; Fabaceae. The record is from RefSeq and is a predicted model, not a curated record.